GCAGUAAGCCAUAUAAACCUUUUCUGCCAACUUCUUAUUCACCCCAAGAGGGCUACUUAAAGGAGGGUGAAGACAUGCUAAGAUGAUGCCAACAUCAGGGACACUCAAAAAGAGAAGCUUUUCCAGCCCUUUUAUCAAGUGAUUCAGAAAGAGUGGAAGUGAGAGAGGCCUUUGGAUCGUGUUAUUGUUUGUAUCGACAAAAAACCGAGGCUUGGAGACGCUGGAUCCUUCAGCCAGCAGUGAGCAUUCCUCAUUUCAAG
RNAcentral lists this long non-coding RNA (260 nucleotides) under Pan troglodytes (chimpanzee). RNAcentral's name for it is "lncRNA (ENSPTRG00000053476.1)". The record is from RNAcentral. Lineage: Eukaryota; Metazoa; Chordata; Mammalia; Primates; Hominidae.